This 2633-nucleotide unclassified non-coding RNA is filed under the name Hevea brasiliensis (rubber tree). The record is from RNAcentral. Lineage: Eukaryota; Viridiplantae; Streptophyta; Magnoliopsida; Malpighiales; Euphorbiaceae.
AAGAGACUCCCUCUUUCUCUCUCUAAGCGUCUGCCUAUCUCUUUCUAUAGAACCUCCAAUCCUGUCUCUAUUCAUUAUAAUCUCUUUUGUUCUUAUUGUAUAUUACUUUGUCUUUUAUUUUUUAUUUAUAUAAAUUUUAAUUCUUAAAUUUCAUCCUUUUUAUCCUCUCUUAUUAAAAUCUUCUUAGUAAUUUUGAUCCUUUUUUUUAAAUAUUUUUCCUUUUUUUUGAUUAAUCUAUCAAGAGCUAACAGUGAUCGCUUCGUAUGUAAUCCAACGCUGAAUCUUGUUAAUUUUCAUGGAUCGACUAAUGUGAUUUUGUGCUUUUGACGUCAUGUAAGUGAAUGAAGAGAUAUGGGAAUAGAAUCCGUUGGUGGGUUCUUCCACUUAUAUGUUCAACCGAAAUUGAGUUCUAAGUGGACUGUCCAAUAGCUGAUCAAUCUGAAUUUUCUUGUGGCGCUGUGUGUGUUGAUUCAUAUAUCAAUGGAGCAAUUCCAGAUAGGAUUUUGAUUAUUGGGGUUUCUUUGCCCUUUUCGUUCUUUUCGAUUUUGAGUGUCAAUGGAUGAGCUAAGCGCUAAUGAAGCGCAAGAAUUCAAAGCGUCUUCACUACGGUGGCGGCCGAGGCAGCUAGCAUUUGAGCCGUAUACGUCGGGCAGUGAACAUGCGAACAAGGCAGAAACUUUGCGCGUUGUUGUGAGAAGGCCUUUGUUGGCAAGACUGACCAAAGACAUAGUUGAGACAUAUCAAAUAUGCAAUCCACAGUUCAAGUAUUCUGAAGAAUUAAAUCCAAAAAGAUAUUUGACCAGCCCAUCAAUUGGCGUCCUGAAUGAUGGUUAUGACAAUGUGAAUUCUGAUCUGAUUCUGACUGUAAACUUUGCCUUGGUCAAUCUAGAGGCACAGAGAAGAUACAUUGUCAAAGAUGUUCUUGGCCAUGGCACCUUUGGGCAGGUUGCUAAAUGCUGGUUUGCAGAAACCAACUGUUUUGUUGCCGUGAAGAUAAUUAAAAAUCAACCAGCUUACUAUCAGCAAGCUCUGGUUGAAGUAUCUAUUUUGACAACGCUAAACAAGAAGUAUGAUCCUGAAGAUAAGCACCACAUUGUUCGUAUCUAUGAUUAUUUUGUAUUUCAGCGGCAUUUGUGCAUUUGCUUUGAACUGCUAGACACAAAUCUGUAUGAGCUUAUUAAGAUAAAUCAAUUCAGGGGUUUAUCACUGAGCAUUGUCCAGUUGUUCUCUAAACAGAUUUUACAUGGAUUGGCUCUAUUAAAAGAUGCUGGGAUAAUUCAUUGUGAUUUGAAGCCUGAAAACAUUCUUCUAUGCACAAGGUGAAUUACUUUUCUUGAUGAGUUUUAGGCAUGAUCUCUAUAAUAAGUCUUCGUUUCUGUUCAAUUCGAAUUUUUGUAUUGUGAAAAAACAGUGUGAAGACAGCAGAAGUUAAAAUAAUCGACUUUGGAUCAGCAUGCAUGGAGGAUCGUACCGUUUACUCCUACAUCCAGGUCACAUCUAUGUUUAUUCCCAGGCUCUUUAUACAUAUCCAGGUUCACAUUAUGUGGAAGGCCUUGUAAUUGCAUAUUUCUGUUUAUCCUGCAGAGUCGUUACUACAGGUCGCCUGAAGUCCUUCUUGGAUAUCAAUAUACUACUGCUAUUGACAUGUGGUCCUUUGGGUGCAUAGUUGCAGAACUGUUUCUAGGAUUGCCGCUCUUCCCUGGAGCUUCAGAAUUUGAUCUUUUGAGGAGAAUGGUUGAAAUACUUGGGUAUGUCUUCCCUUUUCUGCUGGUAACUAAGAGCUAAAGUGUAUUUGACAUUUUUAUAAAGCUUCUCUUUACCUUUUGCAAUUCAGUAAUUGGACUUCCUUAUCUCUCUUGAAUUACCUCAUAUCCCUUUUAAUUUCACUGGGGUUUCAUAUAUGGAAUUUUGAUAUUUUUUUCCUUUUUUAAUUUUAUUUGUAUUGCCUACUUCUCCAUGCUCUCUUUCCUCAUUCCAAUGGAAUUAUGAAAGGUAUUGAUCUUCUGUUUCUUGAUUAGACAAGCAGUAUUCUUGUAUAUGGUAGUGGCAGUGUGGCAUACAUUUUUUGUGUAUCAUUUUCUAGUGUUGCCACUGUACAGUUUACUUUUAUAUUGAUUCUUUAAAGAAUUUAGUUAUUAAAAUAUUUUAGCAAGCAGUAUUCCUUAUCAAUUGUUUUUAACAGCCUUUUGUGUGUGGUUGCAUUGUUUUAGUGGACAACCCCCUGAUUAUCUACUAAAGGAGGCAAAAAAUACUAGCAAAUUCUUUAAGUGUGUUGGAAGUGUCCACAAUGUCGACGGUGGUGAAGUUACCUUUGGUGGCAAAAGUGCUUACCAAGCAUUAACAGUGGAAGAAUACGAAGCUAGAGAAUUGAAAAAACCGUCUAUCGGAAAGGAGUAUUUCCAUCAUAUGAACAUUGAGGCAAUUGUUACAAACUAUCCUUACAGAAAGAAUCUGCCACGUGAAGAUAUGAUGAAAGAGAGUCGAGUACGAUUAGCUUUGAUUGAUUUCUUAAGAGGGCUUGUUGAGUUUGAUCCCGCAAAGAGGUGGUCCCCUUUUCAGGCUUCGAAACACCCUUUUGUAACUGGGGAGCCUUUCACCUGCCCCUACAAGCCUCCUCCAGAGACCCCUCGCAU